GUUUUACAUUCUUGAUUCUGCUACUGAGGAUGGAUGCGUUAGCUGUGUGGUAUCUUUGUGACACUUGAUCAAGCAUGGUGUGAUUGUUAAUUAUUUCCCUCCAACGCUUUAAUGUUGAUUUGACAGGUUGUCAGGUUGUUUCUCUCUCUCCCCCUCCCCCAGCAUUGCCUUGUCUAUUUUGCAAACGUAUUGCACCUGGUUGUGGUUGAAGAAACAUAUGCCUGUGUGUGUGUGUGUGUGUGUGUGUGUGUGUUUAAAUCGUGCAAUGAAAUUAAAUGGUGUAUGACAAGAAUGUUCUUUAAAUAAGCCUUUAAUGUGUGUGACACCUUUUGGAGGAAAUAAUGGAAGCUGGUUUUGUAUUUACAGCUGCAGUUUCUACAACCAGUCCUGUAUUGAUUCUGCAAACCCCUUAUUAACACCUGGUUGCGCUUUUGCAGUUUGCUGUUUGCCUGUGAGAUUAACCCGGACAAUUGCUUAAUCUCACUAGGCAUUCAAUAUCAGUGUUAGGGCCUGGGAUGGCAGCAGCAGCUGCCUGGAGGACUCCCAAAGAGAGGGAGAGGAAGCUGAGGGAGCACUCCACAAGGGAAGGUGUUUGGAAAAGGCAACCUGAAGAAAGAAGGGAACGAGAGACGUCAAAGAUGUUCAUAAAUCACCGAAAAGGAGAAGAAGCCGCAGACCAUCAAAUGUGCAACAGAGCAAGGCAUUUUACGGCAUUAGCAGGAAUGCCUCAAAGGACAAAAUCAUGACCAGACCCUGGCAGAAGAAUGCACAUAUGGUUAAAGGUAGGAGACAACCACAUAUGCACACAGCAAGCUCUGCUCACAUCUGUUGUUUGUUUAACCAGCCUUUUCCUUCUUCAUAGUUGUUGAAGGAAAGAGGGGAGGGUAUGUUUGGAAGGGGGGAAUGAUCAGAGAGGCCUUGUUUUCUAAAAGGGAGAGAGAGGGGGGGGGAAAGUGGUACAACUCAAACACGAUCAGUUUUGUACUGCUUUAACCAUAAUGGUUUUCUCUCUCCAGGCCAAGAAUCCUGGGAAUUAUAGUUUGGCGACAUGCAAAAAAUUAUCUGUGUAAGUUGCUUAAGCCCCCCUCCCCCUAAAUAAUCACACAGCUAGAGUUCCCAGGGGAGAGGAAAUUACAUUUAAACCAGUAAGGCCAUAGUGUAGGUUUUUCUCCCGCAAUAAAAAAGUUCAAUUUUAGCAGGGAACGAGGUUAGCAAAUGCCUUGUAAGACAGUAAAAGGCUUUUUGAUUUCGCCUCUCCAGUCAUUUUCGGUUUUAUUUAGAAGCAAUGUAUUAAAGGAGGUGAAAGUAUCUGAUUAUUGCUCCAUCUGCUUUGCUCCGGUCCCAGUGUUGUUCAUGGUUGCUGUUGUUUUUUUAAAAAGAUAUAAAGUCUGAGGAUUGGCUUGCCUGCGGGAGCAGACAAAGCUACUGUCUACUGAGUCAGGCUGUGUCCAUCAUGGGCACACCCUGGCAGGGACAAAAGCAAAGCCCUGAUGCCUGUCCUGGACCAUCCUUUAAAAAAGUGAAUAAAUUCUGAACAACAGAACCUGGAAGCCAGUUUUAAACCCCUGCAAUGAUGCCAAUGUUGCAGUGUUCCAGGGCUUCGUAAGGAAUUCAAACGGGAUUUCCCAGCUGCCUGCCACAGUAGCCAACUACCGGUAAGUCUUACUCAGAGUAGAUCCAUUGAAAUUAAAGAACUGAAGUCUGUCGUGAUCAUUUACUUUAAUGGGUCUACUCUGAACAGGAAUAGUGUUGAAUACCACCCAUAGUAAAGGGCUCUCAAAAUGAGCCUACUCAGAGUUAGAUCACUGGUCCGUCUAGUUCAGUACUAUCUAAUCCAGUGGCCUUCCAAAGUCUUGGGCAGGGGUCUUUCCCAUCAUUCGCUAUCAGAUCCUUUUAACUCAAGAUUGCUCUAAACAGGCUCGAAAUAAGAAAUAAAAAUGAGUAAAGCUCUUUCAUGUACAUUUUGUUGUUGUCAUCUGUGAGCGACCUUGCAAGGUAGGUCAAGAUUAUUAUCCCCAUGUUGCAAGUAGAGUUCUGGCGCCCUGAGCUGCAUUUUGAAUGCUCUCCCCAGAGACCUUUGCCUGGCACUGAAUAUGAUGUCCUUUCAGCACUAGAUGAAAACCCUUUCCUUUGCCCCAAGCAUAUUAGAUUUAAGUUUUUAUUCAUUUUAAUUAGGCUUGUACAAUGUGUGUCCCCCUGCACUGCUCCUGUUUAUAUUAUAUUUUUAUUUGAUUGCUAUUUCUAUUGUGUUAUUGGUGCAUUUUAUUGUUUUAGCUGCUCUGAGAGCUCUUGCUGGAAAAUUUCUAAACAAAUUUUCAAAACAAACAAACAACAGCAUCUGUCUUGCAGAGAUGAAAUUAACUACAACACCACAGCAGUUCCUGUUGCUUUCAGUUCCAUUUCUGGUCACACUAGAUCAUGACAAAGAAGCAGCAGUUGGCAUGUAGGUUUUAGAUAGCAAAAUGCCCACCAAAUUUGGUGUGCAAGGGAGGAGAGAUUGAGAGCUCCAGCCCCUUCCUAAACACACACACCCCUCCCCGGUUUGGCAUUGCAAAAUGUUUACUUAAAAAAUAACCAAAUAAAUACAUAUAGGUAACAUUUCACCAGAAAGAGGUUACAACCUGAAAAUCUCUUAUACAGCAUUUCUUAUCUCUUGGUGGACUCCUUGAUAUAACUUAAUUCUGUUCCAACAUAAGACAAAAGGUCUCCAAACUUCCAUGAGUAUGAUUGCUCCAUUUCCCCAUCACUGACGUUUGCCAACUGUUUUGGAAUCAAUUGUCAAGCAUUGCUAGAUUUUCGCCCCACCCCCAGGAAUACAGGAAACUGCCUUGUACUCAGUGAGACCAUUGGUCCACCUGGUUCAGCAUUGCCUACACUGACUGGCAGAGGCUCUCCAGCACUUCAGACCAGAUGUCUCUCUCAGCACAACCUGCAGAUGCCAGUGAUUGAAACCUGGGUUUCUUUUGCAUGCAAAGCAGAUGCUCUACCACACAGCUAUGGCCAUCCCCAUAAAGUGUUUAGCAACUAAAUUAUGAGUUGCAAUCUACGUAUUGUUUACUUAGGCAUUUGUAUUCUGUUUUCAUAGAUUGUCCAAACAGAGCAAGAACAAAAUUUCAGGUUUUAGAGACAUCAUUUCCUCUCCAGUCUCUUUGAUAGUUCUUAUGAUAAGUUUCCUGAAGUUUAUUACAUACUUACAGGACCACCACAUUUGCCUGAAGCCUGUGUUUUGUUCCAUACGCUGCCAGCAACAUGAAUUAGCUAAGCCAAGUACAGCUGCCACCAGCCCUGCACACUCGCCACGCUGGCUGAAAUUGUUGGGAUUUGUAAUUCAACAUCUGGUGUUUGCCACCCUGAGCUAAACCAUAUAGGUGACAAUACCCAUCAUUAGUCACACUAGGGAGACCCACUGAGUUAUGUUCAGUGCAGUUCUACUUAGAAUAGACCCACUGAAAUUAAAGUACUCAAGUGAGUCAUGCCCAUGAAUUUCAGUGGGUAAACGCUAAAUAAAACUAAUAUUAGCUACAAUCCAUUGAACUCAAUGGGUUUAACGCCAUGAAUUUCAGUGGGUCUACUCAGUUUUGUUGGCCUUGCGUUUCUUGCAAGUAUGGGGAAUCUCACACCACCUGCAGAUCAUUUUAAUGAAAAUUUCUUUAGAUCUAGUAGCUGCUUUGUUCUUUCUUCUCUGCUUUAUGCCCUCUUAAUGUAGUUUCAGAAUUAGGGUUUUCAUCCCAUUAUUCAACCCAAGAUGUGAAGAGAAUCUGCAAUCCUUCCUUUUUUUUGUGUGGUGGUGGAACAGUGUCCCUGAUAGUAACAGCCAAUUGAAAUACCAGAGCGAGUAGAUGCAUAACACAAAACAGCUGUCAGGGUUUCCCCCCACCUCCUCUUGGCAAAUAUAAGCUUUCAGAUCUAUAGUUCAACCCACCGUUUGAGUGGAAGUCAGAGAAGCCAUCCCUGAAACAUCUGUGGUAAGGGUUGUAAGGCUUUUAAGAAAUGGAGAAGAGGAAGUAAAGCAACACUAAGGGCAUAUUCACACCACACAUUUAAAGCACUGUUAUACCACUUUAAACAGUCGUGGCUUUCCCCAGAGAAUUAUGGGAGCUGUAGUUUGUUAAGGGUGCCAAGAACUGUUCGGAGACCCCUGACCCCCUCACAGAGCUACAAUUCCAGGAGUGGUUUAUCAAUCAACUCUUCUUCACAAGGACCUAUCAAAAUCGUAGUUCUGUGAGAGGAAUAGGGGUUUCCUAACCACUCUCCACACCCUUAAACUACUGCUCCCAGAAUUCUUCAGCACAAUCCUAUACUUGUCUACAUGGAAAGAAGUCCCAUUUCACUGCUCGCUGGGUUAGAGGGGGCAAGGGCAAAGGCCAGAAGCGGCCCACUAGGUGAGAUGGAUCCAAUACGCUUGUGUCCUUCAGUGACCCAUCUGCUGGGAAGCUGACAGAGCAACUCUGCCCCACCCAAAAAAGCUGUUUCUGGCAAGAAUUGUGAGGAUGAGGAGCACCAGGAGGCUCUGGGGAUGAGCCAGGGGUGCCAUUUGGGGGAGCUGAGCAGCUGAGGGCUCUUCUUAAAUCUUCAAGCAGGGGGCCAGCUAGGCUCCCUCAAUAUUCCACAGCCUGAAACGGGCCUUGCUGGUCCUUCCCACAGCUGUGAUGGGCCCCAUUGGGCCUUCCCAUGGCUGCAGCAGGCCUCGCAGCCUCCUCCUGCCACGUGACAUCACAUGUGCACAUCAUGUACGUGACAUCACACACACCGGGCACCCCCAAAGUUGGGCAGAACCCACUGGGAUGGGCAGUGGGUCCCUUCCUAAAACAUGACCUUUGGGAAGUGCCCGAUGGUGCUGACCUCAGGCGUUAACCCUAUAACUUCUUGCUGGCUGUGUGUAUCCAGGUUUUGACACCAGUUAUCCAUGAUGAAACCUUGUUGGGUUACAAAACCCCCUUAAUCACUACUGCGAGGAAGCAAAUUGUAUGCGGAUGGGUUUUCCUUGGGUCCUCAAAGAAGUGUGGUAAAAAAACACUGCUAGUUGAAGAAUAGGCCGUUUCCUUUUUGCCUUUGCAAAAGGAAACAAAAAAGCCAAAAGUGAAUUGGCUCUUAAUCUCCAAAGGAAGCUGAUAUGAGAUGGAUUUCUCCCUUCAUCUCUCCCUGGACUGUUUUUUUCUUCCUGCUGUGAGAAAACUAUGGUCACAGUACACCUGUGUUUCACAGGAAUAUAAAGGUUUUUGCAGCAGAAACCUCUGAAGCCCCCAGGAAUUCCUUUGACGCUGGGAUAUGAGCAGCAGCUGUGGGUCUUAAUAGCUGCAGUCUCCUUUUGGGGGGACUUUAAUAAAAUCCCCUUCCUUGAAAAGAAGCUCCAGUUAAAAAAAAUACAUUCUCAAGUUGUGUAUUGCACUGUUAAAUAAAUAAAUUCGUUAGCCUUAGAGGUGCUUUCUGCAGGAUUCUUCACUGUUGUUAACGCGAAGAUGGUGACUCUAAAGAACAGAGUCACAAAUGAUCUGGACAGCCUUCUCUGUUAAAGGUUCUGUCUCUCCAUUUGGCUGCAUGCACACUAACCCACUUGUAGAUGUAGAAAAUGUAGUUUUUCUCAAUCUGGAAUUGUUGAUGCUUAACCUCAACAUUAAGGGACGCGGGUGGCGCUGUGGGUUAAACCACAGAGCCUAGGACUUGCCAAUCAGAAGGUCGGCGGUUCAAAUCCCUGCGAUGGGGU
Podarcis raffonei (Aeolian wall lizard) is the source of this 5704-nucleotide long non-coding RNA. RefSeq lists it as uncharacterized. The transcript has 4 exons. Lineage: Eukaryota; Metazoa; Chordata; Lepidosauria; Squamata; Lacertidae. The record is from RefSeq and is a predicted model, not a curated record.